AGCUCAUCCUCUUCAUCUUCUUCAUCCUCUGACAGUGAAGAUGAGACAAAGAAAAAGAAAAAGAAGAAGAAAAAGAAGAGCUCCAGCUCAUCUGAUGAAAGUUCCUCAUCUUCCUCAUCCUCUUCUUCCUCUGACAGUGAUGACAAG
Long non-coding RNA from Nematolebias whitei (Rio pearlfish), 147 nucleotides. RefSeq lists it as uncharacterized. The record is from RefSeq and is a predicted model, not a curated record. The transcript has 2 exons. Lineage: Eukaryota; Metazoa; Chordata; Actinopteri; Cyprinodontiformes; Rivulidae.